AUAUGGCAGGGGAGACACCAUGAUCAAGGAGGAGGCUUUCCCAGGGCGAGACUCAUUCCUUGCACUCUGGGUGUGCUGACCCCUGCAAUUUCACCAAAUGCGGGAAACUCAACUGCAUAAUUUGUGGUAGUGGGGGACUGGUUUUGUUUUUUUUUUUU
Molecule: small nuclear RNA, 158 nt
Organism: Amazona collaria (yellow-billed parrot)
Lineage: Eukaryota; Metazoa; Chordata; Aves; Psittaciformes; Psittacidae
Gene: U1
Rfam family: U1 spliceosomal RNA
About the family: U1 is a small nuclear RNA (snRNA) component of the spliceosome (involved in pre-mRNA splicing). Its 5' end forms complementary base pairs with the 5' splice junction, thus defining the 5' donor site of an intron.
Source: Ensembl